This 1496-nucleotide long non-coding RNA is filed under the name Ananas comosus (pineapple). RNAcentral describes it as "long non-coding RNA (ACOM_LNC014563)". The record is from RNAcentral. Lineage: Eukaryota; Viridiplantae; Streptophyta; Magnoliopsida; Poales; Bromeliaceae.
UGGUUUAAAAGUACAAAACUUAUGUAAACUAUUUAAUUAUCAUUUUGAAUGGGUUAUUCAUUUUUUUAAAUUUUAAUAUUUAAUACCUAAUUUUUUUAUUUGUUUGAUUUGAGUCGGUUAGUUAUGCUUUGACUUCAAAAUUUCAGACCAGUUCAAAAUAUUUAAGCCCAGUCAUUAUUAUUAUCGUGUAGGUUUUAUAUAAACUGAUCGGAAUCAGUAUCCGGAGCGUUACAAUCAGGCGAUGUGAGAUUCUAUAGGUGGCUCCUACGGGUUCAAGAGGUGACUCCCACCAAUCCGUUGGUGUAACAUUUUGUCCCGCAUAGCACUUAACUCUCACACUUCUGGUUGGUAGUCGGUUCUGAUACCAAUUGCAACGACCUAAUCCGCUAGUAAUAAUAAACCGUUAGGUCCAAACAACUGGCCCAAGAUGCUUAAACUUAAUUAUUUUUAUUAGCGUGUAAGUUUCAUAUAAACUGAUCGGAAUCAGUAUCUCAUCUGAUGUAGUACUAUCGGGGCGUUACAUAAACUGUCCCGAAUUAAAUAAAUUGAGAAAUCGGUUCAGAUAAGUUCUGUACAGUUUUUCCUUAGAAAAAUUCUACUUUAUGUUUUAUUAUAAAGUAUACAUCUUACACCAAAUUUUAAAAUUUUAAACUUUUUUUUGGAUUAAUCAGGGCUUUUAAACCGCUAGCGUUUAAAAUUUACAUAUAGAUUAUAUGUGUAUAAAUAGUAUUUCACUACAAUUUAAUUUUAAAACAACAAUUCUUUUUCCUUUUUGGGUGCAACAAAAUUAGUAGUAAAUGAGCUCUUGAUUUGUUCUUUUCGUCCCGACUCAAUUUUAUCUUAUUUUAUCGGAUUUGAUCCAAAAUUAUAAUUAUGAUUGGGUGAGAUUAGAUUAAAUGCUCGACACUAAUCCAAUAUAAGACCCAACCUAACUUUUUAAUAAAUUGCAAAAAUCAAAUCAAAUCAAAUCAAAUUAAGUAGCAUCAAUCUUUCGAUUAGGUGAAAAUUUAACACCUUGCGACUCUCGACAAAUAGCUUACACUAUAAAUAUGCAAAAUUCUAAAUUUCUCCGGUUAAUAAAAGAAUAAAAUAUUUUUGAGUUUUUUCUGACAAAAACCCAAAAUUUUUUUUUUUUUCCAUUUUUGUGGCCAUAUUUCCCUAGUACAAUUUUAGUACAAAUAUUAGUGGUUUUGCUGGUAUAGGCCCUAUCCUUAUUCGGACUUGCUUGAUCUAGAUUCUGAAAAAGUAAUUUUUACAGAAUUAAUUUAGUUUAGAAAAAUAAUUUUUAUUAAAAGUUGUGAAACGUUUGGCUGAAUCUGAUAGAAAAAUAUUUUUGCUGAAAUAAUUUUAGAAAGCCGUUCGUCAAUUUUUUUUUGCUGAAGUAAUUUUGUAAUACUGUUUAAUAUUGGUCAUUUUUAAAACUAAUUAAUGUUAUAUGCCCAUAUUUUAAGUUAUCCAUAACUAUUUUAUAUAACAAAAGUGUAUAAUAUCAUCUU